UACGUAGGCAGCAAACGUUGUUCGGAGUUACUGGGCGUAAAGAGUACGUAGGCGGCUUGCCAAGUUUGGUGUGAAAUCUCCUGGCUUAACUGGGAGGGUGCGCCGAAUACUGGCGAACUUGAGUAUUGGAGAGGAAAGCGGAAUUCCUGGUGUAGCGGUGAAAUGCGUAGAUAUCAGGAGGAACACCGGUGGUGUAGACGGCUUUCUGGACAAUCACUGACGCUGAGGUACGAAAGCGUGGGUAGCAAACAGG
Molecule: ribosomal RNA, 253 nt
Filed under: uncultured bacterium
Lineage: Bacteria
Description: partial 16S ribosomal RNA
Rfam family: Bacterial small subunit ribosomal RNA
Source: RNAcentral